GGCGGGCGAUUUCAGACGCUUGGCAGCCUGGAUGCAAAGGGUUUACCGACCAUGGCCACGGGCCGCUUUGUCUCGGUCGAUAAGCCUCUGCAUCCAGAUUGUUUGGAAUCUGUUGCUUCUC
Molecule: microRNA precursor, 121 nt
Filed under: Picea abies (Norway spruce)
Lineage: Eukaryota; Viridiplantae; Streptophyta; Pinopsida; Pinales; Pinaceae
Description: miR162c stem-loop (pab-MIR162c)
Gene: pab-MIR162c
Source: miRBase by way of RNAcentral